This 332-nucleotide ribosomal RNA is filed under the name uncultured bacterium. RNAcentral's name for it is "bacterial SSU rRNA". It matches the Rfam family "Bacterial small subunit ribosomal RNA", at positions 568 to 898 of the family's 1533-position model. The record is from RNAcentral.
UGUGUAGGCGGCUACGCAAGUCGGAUGUGAAAUCCCCGGGCUCAACCCGGGAAGUGCACCCGAUACUGCGCAGCUUGAGUACCGGAGAGGUUGGCGGAAUUCUCGGUGUAGAGGUGAAAUUCGUAGAUAUCGAGAGGAACACCGGCGGCGAAGGCGGCCAACUGGACGAGUACUGACGCUGAGACACGAAAGCGUGGGGAGCAAACAGGAUUAGAUACCCUGGUAGUCCACGCCGUAAACGAUGGGUGCUAGGUGUCACGGGCUUUGACUCCUGUGGUGCCGUAGCCAACGCAUUAAGCACCCCGCCUGGGAAGUACGGCCGCAAGGCUAAA